GAUGAACGCUGGCGGCGUGCCUAAUACAUGCAAGUCGAGCGAACAGACGAGGAGCUUGCUCCUCUGACGUUAGCGGCGGACGGGUGAGUAACACGUGGAUAACCUACCUAUAAGACUGGGAUAACUUCGGGAAACCGGAGCUAAUACCGGAUAAUAUAUUGAACCGCAUGGUUCAAUAGUAAAAGACGGUUUUGCUGUCACUUAUAGAUGGAUCCGCGCCGCAUUAGCUAGUUGGUAAGGUAACGGCUUACCAAGGCAACGAUGCGUAGCCGACCUGAGAGGGUGAUCGGCCACACUGGAACUGAGACACGGUCCAGACUCCUACGGGAGGCAGCAGUAGGGAAUCUUCAGCAAUAGGCGAAGGCCUGACGGAGCAACGACGCGUGAGUGAUGAAGGUCUUCGGAUCGUAAAACUCUGUUAUUAGGGAAGAACAAAUGUGUAAGUAACUAUGCACGUAUUGACGGUACCUAAUCAGAAAGCCACGGCUAACUACGUG
This 497-nucleotide ribosomal RNA is filed under the name uncultured bacterium. RNAcentral describes it as "partial 16S ribosomal RNA". It matches the Rfam family "Bacterial small subunit ribosomal RNA", at positions 28 to 507 of the family's 1533-position model. The record is from RNAcentral.